Molecule: transfer RNA, 782 nt
Filed under: Mesorhizobium mediterraneum
Lineage: Bacteria; Pseudomonadati; Pseudomonadota; Alphaproteobacteria; Hyphomicrobiales; Phyllobacteriaceae
Description: partial 16S-23S ribosomal RNA intergenic spacer
Rfam family: tRNA (bases 237-310)
Source: RNAcentral
AACAAGACGGAAGAGAGUCACUCUUACCGUCGCGCAUACCUUAAGCGGGUCUGCCGCCUUCGUUUCUCUUUCUUCGCGAAUGACUUUGACUUGCGCUCGCGCGCCGCAUCGCACCCUGAGGGUGCUGGCGCUCCGCGAGGGCGCGGCAGCAAGCCGCGAUGGCCUGGCCGCGACGGCCGGUUGGCCUUGCGAGACUUGCGUCUCGUUGGCGAAAGCCGAUCUACGGCGCAGUCUUAGGGCUUGUAGCUCAGUUGGUUAGAGCGCGCGCUUGAUAAGCGUGAGGUCGGAGGUUCAAGUCCUCCCAGGCCCACCACUUCGCAAUCCGCAAGGAUUGUCGAUCUCCUCGACAAAGGUAACUUCGAAGAGGUGUUAUCAAGGGGCCGUAGCUCAGCUGGGAGAGCGCCUGCUUUGCAAGCAGGAUGUCGUCGGUUCGAUCCCGUCCGGCUCCACCACUUCGCAAUCCGCAGGAUUGUCGAACCGCGCAAUCCGCAGGAUUGUCGAACCGCGCAAUCCGCAGGAUUGUCGCUACCUCGUUCUGAAGGGAAAGAGGGUGUCGAGUAGAGAUGGAAACCGGUUGGAAAAAGAGUCAUUCGUUAAAAAGAUUUGCGGCGAGCUUCUGGGCUCUCCGCCUGUUCUGUUUGACAUCGUAAAAGAGAAGAUUUGUUCGAACUUCAUAUCCUGAAGAGGGUGUGAUUUGUCGCGGGAGACGCUCAAUCUCGCGCAUAUGAUGGGUUUGCCUAACCGCACCCUCGAACCGAUCUCGAGAAGCUGGUCUUUUUGUG